CAGCCGUAAACUAUGCUCGCUAGGUGUCAGGCACGGCGCGACCGUGUCUGGUGCCGCAGGGAAGCCGUGAAGCGAGCCACCUGGGAAGUACGGCCGCAAGGCUGAAACUUAAAGGAAUUGGCGGGGGAGCACAACAACGGGUGGAGCCUGCGGUUUAAUUGGACUCAACGCCGGACAACUCACCGGGGACGACAGCAAUAUGUAGGCCAGGCUGAAGACCUUGCCUGAAUCGCUGAGAGGAGGUGCAUGGCGUAGACGUCU
This 261-nucleotide ribosomal RNA is filed under the name uncultured archaeon. Its description in RNAcentral is "partial 16S ribosomal RNA". It matches the Rfam family "Archaeal small subunit ribosomal RNA", at positions 748 to 1009 of the family's 1478-position model. The record is from RNAcentral.